Non-coding RNA from Myodes glareolus (Bank vole), 5755 nucleotides. NCBI's taxonomy places the organism in Eukaryota, Metazoa, Chordata, Mammalia, Rodentia, Cricetidae. The record is from RefSeq and is a predicted model, not a curated record.
AAUUAAAGAGGGGAAACAAGAGACUCUGGGAUGGGAGGCAGACAUGGGGCUUGGGUAAGUGAAUGUGGCCAUCUGAUCGCCUUCCUCUGCUCCAGUUAGUUCAACUCACCUGGCUGGCAAUAACUAUGGGGGCAUUUGUCGUUAUUGCCAGCCAGGUGAGUUGCUCACUGGAAACAAUUCAAUGAGAAUUAAAAAAAAAAAAAAAGAGCUAGACAACCUCACAGACGGGUUCUAUACUCAGCAGGAAUUUAACCACAUUUCCAGGGAAAGGAAGCAACACACAAAAGGUCAUUCACAGAGCAUCCAGUGUGUGCCUGCCACGGAACGAGGCGCGGCGAGAUGGGGCGAUGAGAGGAGAACAAGGCUCAGUGUUAUUCACGGGAUGGCGGCGUUCAGACCAACAGACACGCGUGGAGCCGUGACAGUGUGACAAGAGAAUUCACAGAAACAGUUGCCGGUGAAGGGUUCCCUGUGAAACACAAGCUACAGGGUUUUAGGGGUGUUUGGGUUUUAGUAGCCGGUUCACCGUCACAUGGAAUAGAACCUGGCACAUAGUUGUUUAUCCAAUCGAUAUUUGCUAACAGGGACUAAAGCUUCGAGACACAGUGUGAGGCCCGUGAGGAGCCAGGGGGUUAGUGAAAACUGGAGCAGGCCGCUGUGCUGGGAAGGAUACUGCAGCUCGUUGUGGUUGGCCUUUGAUGACGUCAAUGCUGUGAACGGAAGACGCUGAAAACUUUGAAAUGAGAAUUCAUGUACUCGUAAUGAUAUUUAAUAGGGAGUCCUGAAAAAAGCUAACAACGGUCUUUUGGAGGCAUCCGGAAAUUGCAUGCAUGUACAUGUGUUGGGAUCAGAUGCAAAAUUUCCCUACUUGAUUAAAGAAUUCCUUCCUUUGGAAGAGCCAGGGACCCUGUGCAUAUUUGGAAACCAAAGCAGAGUGUGGGAAGCACAGGCUUGUUCAUGGAAAAUCAACCACAGAACACUGGGAAGGAUCUACUGAGCGCCUCUAAUGAUCAUCCUCAAUCUCGCUACUUCUGGGAUGGAGGAGCUUUUCGUGCUGAUUCAGUGGCCAUCACCUACCAAGCCACACCAGUCUAGAGAACAGGGAUGCACGCUCUAGCUGAGAGCCAAGAAAACUGAGUCAUAGACUCUUUUAGAAGUAGACAAGAGACAGUCUGAGACCCAAAGAAUUCAACCCGUGGCCCAGAAUAGAAGCUGAGCACCCUGCUGUUGAGAGGGACCUGCAAGAGAUUUAAUCUCCCUUCUUCCAGAGGAAGCUGAAGACCUGAGCGGGAAGUGCCUUCCAGAAGAACAAAGAGAUAACAGGAGCUCCUCUGAUAUCAGCUGUGUUUUUGGAACAAUUCAGUGACCUGGGGAGAAGCCGCCAACCCAGCAAGUAAAACACAGAGUGUGACAAAGGACAGACACUUGGUCAAACAAUCUCCCUGGCUCAAGAACCUCUUGAAACCUUAUCUGAAGUUCAUGGAUUUUUCUCCCAGAGAGAAUGUGGCUCAGUGACAGCUCCAGCCAGAACCUAAAUAGAAGGCUCAGUGACCCUGGUAAACAUUUCUAUUCCGUGGCAGGAUUAGAAAGUCCUGCAAAGACUGUUUGCCUCUGUGUGUCGCAAGAUCGAGCUGUGGCUUCUGUCCUGACUGCCCUUGUAUCUGGAGUUAACAUAUCAAUGUGGUCGAGUGCAAGCGUGGAAUUCAUAACUAGAGGCUCAUGGGACUGAGGGUCACACACUCUGCAUUCCCCAUCUCCGAUGGCGGCAACCACAUUGCUGUAAGCUAUUGUUAUGUGGGCCACCGGCGUGUGGUUCCAUGCCGUCAGUUUGCUUUCUUUUUACUCCAUUGAGUAGACACUUAUGGACUGAAUUCUGUCUGGACUACAACAUGAAGGAUGUCCAAAAUUACUAUUCUGUGACAUGAGCUAAGAGGCAUGGCCCCCUGCCUCUGGAGAAGUGAAAUUUAGUAGAAGAAUAAUAGAAAUGCUCAAAUGUGUGUGCUAAGGUAACUGCCUUGAAAGAUAGGCCCCCUUGGGCUUUAAGAGGGAAAACAAAUAUCUCCAGCUGAGAGGGUCCAGAAAAUGUGUGGGAGCUAGAGACAUAGUUCAUAGUUGUAGAGCACUUGCCCAGCUUGUGAAAGGCCCUGAGAUUGAUACCCUUGUACCACCAAAAAAAAAGAAAAAGGAAGAGAAAGAAAGAAAACACCCAAGAAGAAAGAGAUUAUCCUUAGAACCAACGAACAGCAGAUUGCUAUUCUGAAGUCCCCAGGAGAAGAAGUCUGCGGAGGCCUGUUGGAGUACAGAGUGAUGAAGGACAGAGAGCGUUGUCUACAUGGGGUCUCUAGACCAUCCAACUGACCCUCACCUUUAACCACCAGAUGGGCAUGUGAGGUCAUUUGGCAGCUGUGAGCUUCAGUGAAUCUCUGACCAUUGUCAGCACUCAGCUGACUUUAAGCUAACCCACCAAAGGACCAUUCCACCAGUCCCAGGUCAACCUCCCAACUAUAGCAUUUUGAACAAGCAGCACGAUGCUGUGUAGCUAUAAUGGGCUGGAGGGAUUCAUCACACAGUGGAAGAGAACUUGUGGAGACAGACUUGUGAAAGAAGUGUUUGGGGAGAGUGAGGGAGUCUGAUAUUUGUGAGUGGACAUUUGUAUUAUGACAAUUUGAUGGGUUCUUGGAGUCUUAAAAGUCUCCUGGUCUUUGUCCUGAGCUUUUCCUACUACACCCUUAACCAGAAGAGCAAUUACCACCUCUACACUAGCAUCCGAGGAAGUGAGAAACUUGGUACCUUUCAAGACUGAUCAGGCCAUUUGGGAUUACACUUGCAAAGUUAUCCCUGGUCUUACCAUGGGAAUCUAAUCUUGGGAGGAAGAGUCAAACGUGGUAAAUAUGAUAUGUGUGUGUAAUAUGUAUGUAUGAGUGUGUGUGUCUCUAUAAAUUCCCAUGGGAAUGUAACCUUGGGAGAAAGAGUCAAAUGUAGUAAACAUGUGUGUGUGUGUGUGUGUGUGUGUGUGUGUGUGUGUGUGUCUACAAAUUUCCAUGGGAAUUUAACCUCGGGGGAAAGAUUCAAACAUAAUAAACAUGCUGUGUGUGUGUGUGAAUACAUGUGUGUGUACAAAUUCCCAUUAAGAGGUCACAUUAACGGAGAAUGUAGACUGACCAGGAAAUAGUCUUAGAAAAGUCUUAACAAGGGAGACUAUCUAACAUGAUGCGAUCACACACACACUGAGCACAUGCUUUGGGAGCACCAAGUAGAAGGAAUCAAUGCCAAACUACAGGUUGUUCUUUGUUUUUAGAUUUAAAAAGAAUCUUGAGCUUAAAAACACAUCACUCUAAUAAGCCAAACUUGAAUGGCAACUAUUCAAUAUUUUUCCUUAACAUGCAGAAUCUUGAUUUUAAAAAAGAAAACCUAACAUAUACAGAAGUAUAAUAGGGGUAUUUGCUAAAAAGGAGGGGACCACCCUCACCUUCAGCGGCCAGGCCAGUGCUGACAGUCCGGUCUUGCUACUCUAGUCUGUGACUUUAAAUUUCAUUCAAAGAGCCUGGGUAGAAGCAGAUGAAGAGUACCAGACCCCAGACAAGAACCUGGGCCUGGAGAAAGAGGAGGUAGAUUGUAGCAGGCUGCCGCAUGAGUAGUACAUUGAAAAGACUCUUGAAAGCCAUGCCUGUGAAUUGACCCAGCUGGCAGAUGGAAGAUUUCAGUUGACUCCAGAUAGAUGUGCUGGGAGGUUGAUGCUUCAGUCCUGGCCCACAUCAUGUGGCCUUAAAAAAUAAAUGAUGAAUAUCCAGAAGGGGUAGCUCAUGCAGGUAAAUCUCUGUGAGUUCCAGGACCAUGAGAGCUACACAGUAAGACCCUGUCUCAACCAAUCAAUCAAUCAGCCAGCAAAUGAGAUGCUGAUGCUGAUUCAUCCUCAUUCCAGUGGGGCAUCUUUAUCUCUGUUUUAUUUUCUCCUAAUGAUCACAUGAUGACUGUGCCUCAGGCACACAUCACAAUUUAGUGCCCAGAGAGGUUGUAUGAAUUUCCCAGGGCCACACAGCCUGUGAAUAGGAAACCUAGAUCAAAUUCACACGUCUUGACUUCCAACUCUGGUCAAAUAAUUAGAAUCAGAAAAUUCUAUAGAUGGUCAGAGUUGGAAAAAAUAGCCAAGGACCUUAAACGUGUACACCUUCUAUUUCUUAGGUAGGGAAGCUGAAUCCUGCUCAAAGUCACAUCAUGAUGGCCCAGGUGUGCCGAUCUUCCCAGGACAGUGGUGUCGCUUUGUUUUUGUUUGUUUGUUUGUUUGUUUAGCUAAUCACAGGAAAACCUCUUAAUGGAGGUUGACAGUACCCUAGGAAGGUCCUGCCUCUGUGCAAAGGGCAGAAAUCAUAAAGAACAAGGGGGCCUGAGAGUCUGUGGGUAGCACUGGUGCCAGGAAGGAUAGUGAACAGAAAAGAUCAGCAUUUGCAGAAAGAGAAGAAAGGACUGACAGGGAAGGGAGGGGCUGGCCCCGAGCCUGGGGAUUGGCAUCCAGGCAUCCCGCAGGUGGGAACCAGCAGUGCCCCACUCUCAACUGGAGCUGGCUGCAGUGGGGCAGCAAGGGAGCUCCUGGUACUGUAGCUGGGGAGGGGCGCCAGGGUGGAUUUACAGUCUCUCUAGCUGUGAAUGAAUGAAUGGCUUGGGCUUCUCCAUCUCACCUCUUCGAGGAUUGGGGGCUGCUCAUUCACAUGCAAAUCCCUUUAGUGUUGGGAGCCUGGGCCCCACAACUCAGGGCAGGAAAAUAGCUUGGGGACAGGAAAAAAAACAAAGGGUGGUUGUGUUCCCUAGCAGGGCUGCCAGACUCAAGGUAUGUCACAGUCUGGACUGAGAGGAGACAGUGAUCAGCCCAGGAAUGUGUGAGCUAUUGUGUGCACUGCCACAGCUCUGAACCCUGUCCUCCCAAACCUCAUCCUUAUAUCCUCAGAUCUUUGCAUAGAAAUCCUCAGGGGUGCUGGAGAUAUGGAGCCAGGGGCCCUGGGUCCUUGCCAUAACCCCUGUCACACUUUUGUUACUUUAAUUCUGCCAUGUUGUGUUAUGUUGAAUCUGAAAAUGCGUAUUAGCUUCCAAGACUCAGCUAUCAAAUUUUCUGGGGUUUUGCUUUUAUUUAUUACAGCAAUCCUUAAAGCUUAAGUUUUUUUAAAAAAAGAAAAAUAACCAACUAAGCAAGCCAUAUUAGAAAUAAAUGAAUUCUAUGAAAACUCAUCAUUUCUAAAUUAUUUUAGCAUUGUUCUACUAUUGUUCCUGGGGCUUUAAUGUCUUUUGAAUUCAAACAAAGAAUGAUGUACGAAGAUUCAUCUCUUGCCCAUCCUAUGCUCUCUCCUUUCCUUCUUUUCUGAAUGCACAUAUCGCUGUCUCUAGGCCUCAGCUUUCCAAGCAUACAACCUGGAGCCAGGGCAAAGGAUCAGGUGUCCAGGCGAUCAACUGUCCAAAAGAUCUGCAUCCCCUGCAGCACCUUGCAGGAGCCCUGUUCCCCAGCCUCCCUCCCUGGUCUGAUCUGUCUCAACUUGCCAUUCCCCAUCUCUAACUUCCUUCUUCAGACACACCAGCCCUUUCUCUGCCUGAGGGUCCAUGUGCUGUCCUAUCUGAGUGCCUUUUCUCCAGGAAGCACACAACUAAGACCCUCAUCGUUUCCUUUGCUCAAAUAUUCCCAACUCGGCAAGACAUCCCUGGGCGCCGUAUUCAAACCACAGCACAGGCCCCGCUUCCACAGGACCCUAUGCUGGCUCUGUCUUCUGCU